UCCGUAGGUGAACCUGCGGAAGGAUCAUUACAGAGUUCAUGCCCUUACGGGUAGAUCUCCCACCCUUGAAUUAUACUACAUUGUUGCUUUGGCAGCCGUCACACGCUGCCAGAGGAUAAACCAAACUCUUUUUAAUAUGUCGUCUGAGCAUUAUAUAAUAGUUAAAACUUUCAACAACGGAUCUCUUGGUUCUGGCAUCGAUGAAGAACGCAGCGAAAUGCGAUAAGUAAUGUGAAUUGCAGAAUUCAGUGAAUCAUCGAAUCUUUGAACGCACAUUGCGCCCCUUGGUAUUCCGGGGGGCAUGCCUGUUCGAGCGUCAUUAUAACCCUCAAGCCUAGCUUGGUGUUGGAGCAUGCCCUUGGGCAGCUCUUAAAAUCAGUGGCAGUGCCUCUCGGCUCUAAGCGUAGUAAUACUUCUCGCUAUAGUGUCCGUUGGGUCCGCGCCAGAACCCCUAAUUUUUCUAUGGUUGACCUCGGAUCAGGUAGGGAUACCCGCUGAACUUAA
This 504-nucleotide ribosomal RNA is filed under the name uncultured fungus. Its description in RNAcentral is "eukaryotic LSU rRNA". The stretch from base 166 to 319 matches the Rfam family "5.8S ribosomal RNA". Lineage: Eukaryota; Fungi. The record is from RNAcentral.